AUUGAACGCUGGCGGCAUGCCUAACACAUGCAAGUCGAACGGCAGCGCGGGUAGCUUGCUACCUGGCGGCGAGUGGCGGACGGGUGAGUAAUGCAUAGGAAUCUGCCCAGUAGCGGGGGAUAGCCCGGGGAAACCCGGAUUGAUACCGCAUACGCCCUACGGGGGAAAGCAGGGGAUCUUCGGACCUUGCACUAUUGGAUGAGCCUAUGUCUGAUUAGCUUGUUGGUGGGGUAACGGCCUACCAAGGCGACGAUCAGUAGCUGGUCUGAGAGGACGAUCAGCCACACCGGAACUGAGACACGGUCCGGACUCCUACGGGAGGCAGCAGUGGGGAAUAUUGGACAAUGGGGGAAACCCUGAUCCAGCAAUGCCGCGUGUGUGAAGAAGGCCUGCGGGUUGUAAAGCACUUUCAGUUGGGAAGAAACAGCAGCCGGCUAAUAUCCGGUUGUCUUGACGUAACCAACAGAAGAAGCACCGGCUAACUCCGUGCCAGCACG
Molecule: ribosomal RNA, 497 nt
Filed under: uncultured bacterium
Lineage: Bacteria
Description: bacterial SSU rRNA
Rfam family: Bacterial small subunit ribosomal RNA
Source: RNAcentral